Molecule: ribosomal RNA, 1074 nt
Filed under: Triticum aestivum (bread wheat)
Lineage: Eukaryota; Viridiplantae; Streptophyta; Magnoliopsida; Poales; Poaceae
Description: partial small subunit ribosomal RNA
Source: RNAcentral
AUGAUCAUUGGUGAUGGAGGAAAGCAGCAUACUAUCUCCGAUGGCCACGUCUUACCACAACUGGCAUCGGAGAAGGUAGUUGUUGCCUCCACUUCGCCCUCCGCUGUCAACAUCAAAGAAGAAUUUGAAGCUGAUAUCAUGCAAAACAUCAACCGGAGCUCCAACAGCCUCAUCUCCGUGCACCGUGUCAUGUUUGGACUCGAAGGCUGGGCGGACCUACCACAUGGAUUAUUGCACUCCAUCAUUGUCCUGUUUGGUUCAACUCGUGACCUUCUUGCAUUCAUCGCCACCUGCCCUAGCUGGUAUGCCGCAUUCAUGUCAAUCAAAUCUACCUUAGGCGAGCUCUUCCCACCUGUUAUUUUCCGGAAUUGUGCCGACCAGACAAGCUCAGCUGGCUCUAACAUUGGAAACACAUGGGAGCUCAUUGAUCCUGUAUAUCCAAGUACUCCGUUGUGUCGCUUGACCCCUCCAAGUAUUUUGGACAAAAUGGCAGUCAUCAAAUGUUCUUAUGGUCAUGCGAUUUUCUGCUACGACAGAUCCCUUGUCAUUAUGGACGUGCUCAUUGGCACUACGGUUGCAGCUCCACCUUUCCCACUGAGUCAACUAUGCCACAUAACCUUCAUAUCUCCAGAGGCAUCACCCGAUUCAUAUCUAUUUGUCAGCAGCCCGCACUGCCUGUAUGCUUGGCGAGUUGGGAGCCCCUCUUGGUUGCACUGCGAUUUUCUAAAUGCACAUUUGAUCAAGGAGAUAGUAUCCUUCAAAGGCCGGGUCAUUAUGAGGAUGCGUCAAAAACACGACUUGAAGAAGUGGAAGUAUGUGAGCAUGGAAGAGGGAGGCUUGAAGAAGUGGGCGUUCUUCUUUGGCGAGAAACAUACUGGACAGCCACGACUUUUAGUGAAUCCAGAGAGAAUGGGUUUAAGGGGUGGCCUUGUCUAUCAGUUGGAUGAAAACGCUCGAGUAUUUUCAUACCCAGUAGAUGGCAACCAAAAUGAGGAGUUGGAGCCAGAACCUUGUUUUGCGACGAUCAAUGCUUAUCUUGCUCGCAAUCCUACAUCCUUUGCAGCUUGGGUAUGA